RNAcentral lists this unclassified non-coding RNA (492 nucleotides) under Hevea brasiliensis (rubber tree). Lineage: Eukaryota; Viridiplantae; Streptophyta; Magnoliopsida; Malpighiales; Euphorbiaceae. The record is from RNAcentral.
GUAAAAUCUAUUCAUAUAUUUAUACUUAUUAUUAAUUUAUUCUUUUAUUCCAUAUACAACUCUAAAUAGAAUUAACGUUUUAUUCUAAACUGUUUAUAUAGAAACAUUGUUUUGCCGUAAUUACUCACCUGUUUUAAAUAUCUGUGCUGAGCACGCUCCAAAUGCUAUCUGGCAAGCCAACACAUCAUCACCAGCGCUUUGUUUCAUUUGUUGUCUACCCGAAAUACCAACACGGGCAAGUCACGCCCCAAAAAAUACCAAACGUGACUUUAGGACGUGAUAUAACAGCGCUUAAAAGCGCGUGAUGCCAGGCUGGCACUCUAGGCAAACUCGGCUGGCUGACCUUAUCCGAAUCCAUAUGUUGCAAUGUUAAUUUGACUGCACAAGUGGUUACCAUAUUUUGAUACAAUAAUUAUAAUUUUAUUAAAAAGUGCGCUUGUUAUUUUUAUCUAUGUACAUAUCUUUGAAUAAAAAAAAAAAAAUUGUACCCGC